GGUGAUAAAUUUGACUAAAAUAGCCGGCCCGGCCCGGCCCGGCCCAUUAUUAAAAAAGGUUGUGGAAUUUGGUAAUAGACAAUUAGCAGAAUCUUCGGGGUGCAUGUAAAGCAAAAGUGGGAGCAGUGUACGUGAUACGUGUCCCACAUCCAUGAGAAAACCCUCUGAUUCAUUUCAUUGGUAUCAACACCUCGCCACUGUGGAGUUUACUUUCAAGAUGAAAUCAAUAUCAUUGUUAGUGUUAACAAAAAAAAUACAUUUAUCAAGAUAAUGCUUACACCAUCGUAUCAUAUGUUGAUGUUAUAGCCCAGGUAAAAUCUCUUCGUAUUAUUCUUUUAUUUGCAUCAUCGUUAUUACUUAUUUUCGGUUCCGUAGAUUGAUUCGUUUUAAUUUUUAGUAUGAAUAGUAUAUUUUGAUCUUCGACUCGUAUCAGUCACUUUUGAUCUUUGGUCCAAGUAAGUUUGUUUUACUGGAGCAAAUUGGUGCAAAGUUGUCAUUAUCAGCAUUUCCUCAACUUCUAAGAGGUGAUUUGUCAAACAGAGGAAGGGCACACCAAAUAAAAUUCUGACGUGAUCAAUCGGUAGGAUCGAAAAGAGUUGACAAACAAGGUAUUGAUCCAAUUCCAUACUUUAAUUGGAGAAAAAGAAAUCCCACACUUUGACUGAUUGAUUGAUUAUUUAUUUAUAAAUUUCUUUAUGUUUUUGAAUUAGCAUAAUGUUUAAGAUAAGAUGAAUCUACUUCCUUUGCCGACUUUGUUCAUGUCCUAACACAAAGAGCCAGCGCCUCCCAAGACAGAUAAAUAAUUCAACGUAAGCGCGAAAAGUAGAAAACAAUGAUUUUAUAUAUACGAACUUGUGAUCCAGCGUAAAAAAAAAAUAAGGAAAUAAUGCAACAAUCAUUCAAUGAAGGAAAACCAAUGACUAUGAGGAAAAGAAGUCCAAAGGAGAUUUAUGUAUCUUAUUGCUAACUUGGUUGUUGAGAAUGAGGGCGGUACAACCACCCUAGUUGGAGGUAAAACAAACACGUAGAGCUUAGUUUUCUGGGUUGUGGGGCUCUCCCAAACAAAAAACGACAUUCCUUUUUCAUUUCCUAAUAAUGAUUUUCAAUUUGUAUGCUUACAAGAACAUGCAUCUCUCGCAUAAAUAAAUCAAAAUAGGAAAAUGUUUUUCUUUGUUUAACAACAUUGAUAAACUCUGAACAUCCAUUAUAAAUAACUAGAGCAGUUGUUUAUAAAAUUGAAUAAUCUGGUUUAAGAUUAAUGUUUCUUUAAAGUAGAGAAUUUAAGUCAUUCUUUGUUUUUUUUAUUUAAAACCAAUUGUAAGUAAUAUAAAAUCAGCGUCCACCUAUUAGUUUUUCACAUUAUUAUGAAUCCUAGGUUAUGUGUUUUGAAAUGAUUAUAACGAACCCUAGGUUAAGAUUGCUGUUAUUGGUACAUAAGGAGAAAACAUUAACCCUGUGUUUUGUAACACUAGUAUGGAUUUUAUAUAGUGAAAUAGGAUUGGUGGGGUUAGAAAGUGAUUACCUUAUUUAGCUGAGAGAGGUUGAUGCAGAAGGCAGAGAAAGCAGGGCAGGGAUGAAAAGCAAAAGGGGUUGGUGGAGUUGCUGAACUAUGUGUCUUCUUGUUUCUGCGUGUUGUGUGGUUACUCUCUUGCUAUUGCAUCCUAGAUCUAUAUAUUCAUGUUUCAAUGGAAAACUGGUAUUAUGGACAUUUGGAAUGGAACAAUGUUAUGUUAUUUAUUCGAUAACAUUUUAUAGCACAAAACUCUGUUUUCUUUCUUCAUCCCUCUCAUUCAUUGUUUAGUUGCUGUACCAAUUCUUAUGUAGGAAUAUCCUUAGAAUAAUAAAUGCGAGCUUGAAGGAGUUAGUGAGAUUCGUCCUUCAGUAACGAAUAUGCGUUGGCUAUACCCUCUUACCAAUUACAAUUUGGGCCGGUACUGGUAUAUGGGUCACUACAAUGCAUAGUUCGGCCCAUCUGAGUCUCCUUUUUUGAAUUGUGAAAUCCG
RNAcentral lists this long non-coding RNA (2003 nucleotides) under Vigna radiata. RNAcentral describes it as "long non-coding RNA (VRAD_LNC007624)". Lineage: Eukaryota; Viridiplantae; Streptophyta; Magnoliopsida; Fabales; Fabaceae. The record is from RNAcentral.